Molecule: long non-coding RNA, 692 nt
Organism: Phyllostomus discolor (pale spear-nosed bat)
Lineage: Eukaryota; Metazoa; Chordata; Mammalia; Chiroptera; Phyllostomidae
Exons: 4
Source: RefSeq, a predicted model, not a curated record
GUCUCCGCGAUCUCAGUUCGUCCUCUCUUUCUGCUGGGAACCUGAGUCUGUGCGGAAGCCCAUGUCCGCCUUGGGGCCUCCACUCUUUGGGCUCCGCGCCUGGGGCCCUGGAGGGCUCCGUCCUUUGCCCUUGUUCCUCCGCUGCCCUCACGCCCAAUUGGCGCGGCCACGAGCUUUCCUGCACGCCAUUUGCUCAGUCGCAUUUUGUGCAACAGAGCCUAUGGGCUGAAGAUGAGUGGCGGUUGUCAUAAUGAAUGUUUUCCAAAAACUUAACUGCAGAGGAUGACUAAUCCCCUAGGAUAUACAGCUGCAUGUAACAAGCAUAUAGGUAGCUGCAGAUGAAUGAAUGUUCAAGUUCUUAGCUGUGGUAUAUAAGAAUUCUUCAUUGCCUCAAAUGAAAAAGUCCUCAAAGGGAAACAUUUUGCUGAUGUGGAAGAGGUGAAACAAAAAAACAGCAGAAGCACUAAGAGGCACCAAAAUCGAUGAGUUUAAAAACCGUUUUGAGCAGUGGAAAAAAACGUUUCAGUAGGUGUAUUGCAUCAAACAGAGAGUACUUUGAAAGUGACUGAAGUUUAAACAUGUAAAAAUAAAUACACAAUUGUUUAUAAAUUCCGUUUUGGGGGGUAUACCUUUGUAAUGUAUAUUUCAUCACAAUCAAAACUUUUGACUAUUACUGUAGGAGUAAAGCUCUU